This 71-nucleotide transfer RNA is filed under the name Toxocara canis (dog roundworm). It matches the Rfam family "tRNA". From Rfam's summary of the family: Transfer RNA (tRNA) molecules are approximately 80 nucleotides in length. Their secondary structure includes four short double-helical elements and three loops (D, anti-codon, and T loops). Lineage: Eukaryota; Metazoa; Nematoda; Chromadorea; Rhabditida; Toxocaridae. The record is from Rfam by way of RNAcentral.
GCGGCAGUAGCUCAGUGGUAGAGCUCCGCGUCGCGUGCGGGGAGACCCCGGUUCGAUUCCCGGCUGCUUCC